This 465-nucleotide ribosomal RNA is filed under the name uncultured Lautropia sp. Its description in RNAcentral is "bacterial SSU rRNA". It matches the Rfam family "Bacterial small subunit ribosomal RNA", at positions 338 to 795 of the family's 1533-position model. The record is from RNAcentral. Lineage: Bacteria; Pseudomonadati; Pseudomonadota; Betaproteobacteria; Burkholderiales; Burkholderiaceae.
CCUACGGGAGGCAGCAGUGGGGAAUUUUGGACAAUGGGCGCAAGCCUGAUCCAGCAAUGCCGCGUAUGUGAUGAAGGCCUUCGGGUUGUAAAGCACUUUUGGCGGGAACGAAAAGGACUGUGCCAAUACCACGGUUCGAUGACGGUACCCGCAGAAUAAGCACCGGCUAACUACGUGCCAGCAGCCGCGGUAAUACGGAGGGUGCGAGCGUUAAUCGGAAUUACUGGGCGUAAAGAGUGCGCAGGCGGUUUUGCAAGACCGAUGUGAAAUCCCCGGGCUUAACCUGGGAACUGCAUUGGUGACUGCAAGGCUAGAGUGUGUCAGAGGGAGGUGGAACUCCGCAUGUAGCAGUGAAAUGCGUAGAUAUGCGGAAGAACACCGAUGGCGAAGGCAGCCUCCUGGGAUAACACUGACGCUCAUGCACGAAAGCGUGGGGAGCAAACAGGAUUAGAUACCCUUGUAGUC